CACCCACCUAACACACAUCCAGCUCACCAAAGGAUUUGCCAGUUAUUAGAACACUAAUGAUCAAGUAACUAAGAUUAAAUUUAUAGGAAGAAGCACAUGGGUCUUAAAGGCUGGGUCCUAUGAGUCUGACCUUAUUUGGAAUUUGGAGGCAGCGUUUCAAGCAUAUUGUGCUGCAAUUAUCAGUUUGGAACCUGGCUUUGUUCCCAGCAUGGAGAGACUGACAAGCAGCCCGAGGAACAGGUCUGCCCUGGCCCGUCCUACAAAAUGCACAAAGGC
RNAcentral lists this long non-coding RNA (276 nucleotides) under Fukomys damarensis (Damara mole-rat). RNAcentral's name for it is "lncRNA (ENSFDAG00000022201.1)". Lineage: Eukaryota; Metazoa; Chordata; Mammalia; Rodentia; Bathyergidae. The record is from RNAcentral.